This 468-nucleotide ribosomal RNA is filed under the name uncultured Sarcosomataceae. RNAcentral describes it as "eukaryotic LSU rRNA". The stretch from base 116 to 269 matches the Rfam family "5.8S ribosomal RNA". The record is from RNAcentral. Lineage: Eukaryota; Fungi; Ascomycota; Pezizomycetes; Pezizales; Sarcosomataceae.
UUGAGAUAGCACCCUUUGUUUAUGAGUACCCUUGUUUCCUCGGCGGGCUUGCCCGCCAUGAGGACAUCAAAAACCCUUUGUAGUAGCAGUAACUUCAGUUAAUAAUAAAUAUUAAAACUUUCAACAACGGAUCUCUUGGUUCUGGCAUCGAUGAAGAACGCAGCGAAAUGCGAUAAGUAGUGUGAAUUGCAGAAUUCAGUGAAUCAUCGAAUCUUUGAACGCACAUUGCGCCCUUCGGUAUUCCGUUGGGCAUGCCUGUUCGAGCGUCAUUUAAACCUUCAAGCUAUGCUUGGUGUUGGGUGUUUGUUCCGCCUCGGCGCGUGGACUCGCCUCAAAUUCAUUGGCAGCCGGUAUGUUGGCUUCGUGCGCAGCACGUUGCAAGCGACUUCAGCAGACUCCCUUCCAUCAAGCCCUUUUUUUACUUUGACCUCGGAUCAGGUAGGGAUACCCGCUGAACUUAAGCAUAUC